UCCGGUUGAUCCCGCCGGACCUGACUGCUAUCGGAUUGAUACUAAGCCAUGCGAGUCAUUGUAGCAAUACAAGGCAGACGGCUCAGUAACGCGUAGUCAACCUAACCUAUGGACGGGAAUAACCUCGGGAAACUGAGAAUAAUGCCCGAUAGAACACCAUGCCUGGAAUGGUUUGUGUUCCAAAUGAUUUAUCGCCGUAGGAUGGGACUGCGGCCUAUCAGUUUGUUGGUGAGGUAAUGGCCCACCAAGACUAUUACAGGUACGGGCUCUGAGAGGAGUGGCCCGGAGAUGGGUACUGAGACACGGACCCAGGCCCUAUGGGGCGCAGCAGGCGAGAAAACUUUGCAAUGUGCGAAAGCACGACAAGGUUAAUCCGAGUGGUUUCUGCUAAAGGAACCUUUUGUCGGUCCUAGAAACACUGAUGAAUAAGGGGUGGGCAAGUUCUGGUGUCAGCCGCCGCGGUAAAACCAGCACCUCAAGUGGUCAGGAUGAUUAUUGGGCCUAAAGCAUCCGUAGCCUGCUUUGUUAGUUUUCGGUUAAAUCUGUACGCUCAACGUACAGGCUGCCGGGAAUACUGCAAAGCUAGGGAGUGGGAGAGGUAGACGGUACUCGGUAGGAAGGGGUAAAAUCCUUUGAUCUAUUGAUGACCACCUGUGGCGAAGGCGGUCUACCAGAACACGUCCGACGGUGAGGGAUGAAAGCUGGGGGAGCAAACCGGAUUAGAUACCCGGGUAGUCCCAGCUGUAAACCAUGCAAACUCAGUGAUGCAUUGGCUUGUGGCCAAUGCAGUGCUGCAGAGAAGCCGUUAAGUUUGCCGCCUGGGAAGUACGUACGCAAGUAUGAAACUUAAAGGAAUUGGCGGGGGAGCACCACAAGGGGUGAAGCCUGCGGUUCAAUUGGAUUCAACGCCGGGAA
Molecule: ribosomal RNA, 915 nt
Filed under: uncultured archaeon
Lineage: Archaea
Description: bacterial SSU rRNA
Rfam family: Archaeal small subunit ribosomal RNA
Source: RNAcentral